AGUACAGUUCCCGUCACAGCAAGUGCUUCCUCUCUCGGAGCAGACAAACUAACUGAAGCCACAGCCGGAAGCAGGCUGACCACAAGUGCUAAGGUUCUGGUUCAAAAGAAGAGGCUGUUCUAAGAAAGACUACCGAGUAAUCAAUCACCUCCUCAGAGAAAGUCUGCUCAGGAAACUCUCCUCCCACCAGCCCCUGCACUUGGUUCCUUGCGUUGCCUCUGGCUGGAAGCUGUUGUCCCCAACUUCAGAAAGUGUCUGCAGAUUUCACAGGCUCUCUCUUGGGUCAAGGGACCAGCUCUGUGAACACGGCAAGUAACAACAGAGAGAAAACGUGAGGAGAAAAGAGAGACCGGGAUUUUGAAAUCCUGUUUCCUGAAUGCCAUCUCACCAGGCACACGAAAGAAUAAAAUUAAGGAAUCAAGAGCCA
This 427-nucleotide long non-coding RNA is filed under the name Homo sapiens (human). RNAcentral's name for it is "PREDICTED lncRNA (TCONS_00190394)". The record is from RNAcentral. Lineage: Eukaryota; Metazoa; Chordata; Mammalia; Primates; Hominidae.